GAUGAACGCUGGCGGCGUGCCUAAUACAUGCAAGUCGAGCGAACAGACGAGGAGCUUGCUCCUUUGACGUUAGCGGCGGACGGGUGAGUAACACGUGGGUAACCUACCUAUAAGACUGGGAUAACUUCGGGAAACCGGAGCUAAUACCGGAUAAUAUUUCGAACCGCAUGGUUCGAUAGUGAAAGAUGGCUUUGCUAUCACUUAUAGAUGGACCUGCGCCGUAUUAGCUAGUUGGUAAGGUAACGGCUUACCAAGGCAACGAUACGUAGCCGACCUGAGAGGGUGAUCGGCCACACUGGAACUGAGACACGGUCCAGACUCCUACGGGAGGCAGCAGUAGGGAAUCUUCCGCAAUGGGCGAAAGCCUGACGGAGCAACGCCGCGUGAGUGAUGAAGGUCUUCGGAUCGUAAAACUCUGUUGUUAGGGAAGAACAAACGUGUAAGUAACUGUGCACGUCUUGACGGUACCUAAUCAGAAAGCCACGGCUAACUACGCG
This 497-nucleotide ribosomal RNA is filed under the name uncultured bacterium. RNAcentral's name for it is "partial 16S ribosomal RNA". It matches the Rfam family "Bacterial small subunit ribosomal RNA", at positions 28 to 507 of the family's 1533-position model. The record is from RNAcentral.